AUGGAACUACCUUCUGUGAUGGGGAGCUACAUACAGCUGGCGGCUGUAGGAAACGGCAAACGUCGGCCAGCUGCUGUGGGAAGCUCGAUUCGGAAAGGAGGGUGUUCCUACGAGGGGUACACGGCGAGGAGGAGAGUGAGGUCAGCCAAGGAGGAGCUCAGAGCCAACUGCAGGCCACGCUCUUCCGCUCCCUGGUUGAGGAGGUCAGCCUUAGCUGCCCGGAUGUUCAGCUACCUGGAACGCCGGGUUCCCGCAGAGCACACGGGGCUGCCCCAGAAGACAGAAUUUCCCCCCUGGGGCUCAGCGGCCACAGAGAAUCGCCCUGGUGGGGGGUGCUGUUCCCGACACUUCCCUUUUUGCUCCUUUUAAAAAUAAACAAUGAGAUGCAAGCCGAGAAAAGUUCUGUUUGUUAACCUCUAGCCCCAAACAAGAAGGAAACAGAGCCGGGUGAGCCUGUGGUUCAGACCAGCUCCAGAGUCCGGCAGGCCAAGUCCAGCACCGUCCUCUGGGUCUGUGUGUGAAGUUUCUGGAAUCCGGUGCCUGUGUAUGGCGGGGUGGGGGCUGUUUUCCUGCCCCCUUCCUCCUCCCCUCCUCACCUCUGUGAAGAAGAGCUGGAAGCCUUGUGAGCACAAGAAAGAUGGCCGUGGUCCUGGAAGGGCAGGCUGGGUGAGGAGCCAUUGCUCUCUGACCCCGUGGACCUGCAGGGAUAGAACCCCUCCGCAGUCAGGCCAGGACAGAGGAGUUAGGAAGGACACCAACAGCCCGUAGAAGAAAGUUUGAGCCUUUUUUGGAGGCAAGAGAGGGAGUCUCCAGGUCAAGGAGGGCUGUGCAGAGAAGACAGUCGUGGGAAGAGACCAGGUGCCCCUUCCCUCGUGGACCAGGGGCUGAGGACUUAGUGUGCUCAGUGAGGCGGGGGAGGCACCGUCUCUGCGACCCCAGAGUUGAAGUUCUAGCAGGAGAGACAGACGAUGAGGGAUAAGCCAUACACCCAGCUCGGAAUGCCAUAGCGGGAGAGUCUUCCACACCUCGACUCAGGGUUUGGAGCCAGAGAGAAUCAGGGUGGUGUUUUAGACGGGAUGGCCAGGGAAGGCCUGUAUGAGGAGGUGGCAUUUCAACUCAAAACUUGAAGCAGAAGAACUGUGAGUGCAGAGGCCCUGCGGCAGGCAUGCAGCUGCGUGCCCGAGGCCACUGCACCUGGCACCAAGUAGGGAAACCGAUGGGGGUCAGGAAUGUCCCAAGGGGCCAGACCAGGCAGCACCUUGUGGGCUCUAGCGAGGAUUUUGGUUUUACUCUGAGGGGGGAGCCAUGGAGCCCUGAUCUGCUCCAGACUCUAACAGGAUGCCUGCGGCCCCUGGCAGAGAAGGGACUGUGGGCUGGGACGGGGAAGGAAGCAGGGAGGCCAGGAGGGAGGUGAUGGCAGCAGAGCAGAGGGGAGCUGGCCGAGGCCCAGGAUGGUAGAGGUGGAGCUGGGGAGACUGCUCACUGUCCCCUCUCACCGCACAGCCUGCCCGCUCCCCAGCGACGCAGGACAGGCAAACCCAGGAGGUUCCAAACACACACACACUCACACACUCUCCAUACAGAUAGAUCCUGCACACACACACGCAUUCUACAUACACAGAGAUUUCACACCUGCAUUUCACACACAUAUUCAUAUAUUCUACAUACACACAGAUUUUAUACGUGUACACACAUAUGCACAUAUUUUAACAUUCAUAUAAAAUUUCCACAUAUAUACACAUAUAUGUUCUACACACUUGUAGACCCUUUCCAUUUAUUACAUAUAUAUUAAUGGAUAUAUAGAGAAUAUAUAUAUAGAAUACUGGAGUGGGCAGCCUUUCCUUUCUCCAGGGGAAUCUUCCCAACCCAGGGAUCAAACCCAGGUCUCCCGCACUGCAGGCAGGUUCUUUACCAGUCGAACCACCGUGAAAGCACAAGAAUACUGGAGUGAGUAGCCUAUCCCUUCUCCAGCAGAUUUUCCCAACCCAGGGAUCGAACCCAGGUCUCCUUCAUUACAGGUGGAUUCUUUACCAGCUGAGCUACCAGGGAAGCCCUGUGUUACACACACAUAGACCUUUUCCAUUUAUUAUAUGUGUGUGUGUGUCAAUAUAUCCUACGUACACAUACACUUUAUAUGUAUAUUACACACACAUACUUAGAGUUUAUACAUAUAAACACAUGUAUUCCAAGUGCAUAGAGACCCUUUUGUACAUUAUAUACAUGUGUGGACAUGUAUUCUACAUACAUGUAGUCUAUACAUAUCCACACAUGUAUUCCACAUGCAUAUAGUUCUAGAUACGUACUAUACACAGAGUGUCUACACAUAUAUUACCCACCCUCUACACACAUGUGGAUUCCAC
Molecule: long non-coding RNA, 2360 nt
Organism: Bos grunniens (domestic yak)
Lineage: Eukaryota; Metazoa; Chordata; Mammalia; Artiodactyla; Bovidae
Source: Ensembl